GAUCCUAGCUCAGGAUGAACGCUAGCUACAGGCUUAACACAUGCAAGUCGAGGGGCAUCAGUUUGGUUUGCUUGCAAACCAAAGCUGGCGACCGGCGCACGGGUGAGUAACACGUAUCCAACCUGCCUCAUACUCGGGGAUAGCCCUUCGAAAGAAAGAUUAAUAUCCGAUAGCAUAUAUUUCCCGCAUGGGUUUUAUUAUUAAAGAAAUUCGGUAUGAGAUGGGGAGUGCGUUCCAUUAGUUUGUUGGGGGGG
RNAcentral lists this ribosomal RNA (254 nucleotides) under uncultured bacterium. RNAcentral describes it as "partial 16S ribosomal RNA". It matches the Rfam family "Bacterial small subunit ribosomal RNA", at positions 15 to 257 of the family's 1533-position model. The record is from RNAcentral.